Molecule: long non-coding RNA, 323 nt
Filed under: Homo sapiens (human)
Lineage: Eukaryota; Metazoa; Chordata; Mammalia; Primates; Hominidae
Description: non-protein coding lnc-SLC2A12-8:1
Source: RNAcentral
CUUGUGAGGAAGGCAUCUUGCUUCCCCUUUGCCUCCUGACAUGAUUGUGAAUUUCCUGAGGCCUCUCCAGCCAUGAUGAACUCACCCACCUCAACUACCAGCAUCAGAAAACAAGUUCUGACCGGGUGCAGUGGCUCACACCUGUAAGAGUGGCUCACACUUUGGGAGGCCAAGAUUCUCUGCAAAACUUCUGGACAACUGACAUCUCCCUAAAUGUGAUAUUCUCAUACACCCCCAUCUUCUGAUGUUUAAAUUGUAACCUAUGACAAUACUUCUAGAUGUCAAAACAAUAGUGAUUAAACAUUCAACGGUUACCUUCUAAA